GACGAAGGGGGCUAGCGUUGUUCGGAAUUACUGGGCGUAAAGGGCGCGUAGGCGGUUUGAAUCGUCGGAUGUGAAAGGCCUGGGCUCAACCUGGGAACGGCAUCCGAUACGGUCAGACUUGAGUGUGGGAGAGGUUGGUGGAAUUCCCAGUGUAGAGGUGAAAUUCGUAGAUAUUGGGAAGAACACCGGUGGCGAAGGCGGCCAACUGGACCACAACUGACGCUGAGGCGCGAAAGCGUGGGGAGCAAACAGG
RNAcentral lists this ribosomal RNA (253 nucleotides) under uncultured bacterium. RNAcentral's name for it is "partial 16S ribosomal RNA". It matches the Rfam family "Bacterial small subunit ribosomal RNA", at positions 524 to 776 of the family's 1533-position model. The record is from RNAcentral.